AGACCACCAACCCACAACAAAGUAUAAUCUAUCAUCAAACAUAAACAAAGUAUAAUCUAUUUGAGAUUCAAUAAUCUAUCAAAAAUGACAUAAUCAAAGUAUAAUAGGCAUUUCAUCGAGCACGUAAUGUUCCAUUUAUAAUAUAGAAACUUGAUACAAAAUAAAUAUUCAUCAAAUUGCUAAAAUUCUUAGCAACUUGAUAAAAAAAAUAAAUACAACAUAUUCUAGGAGGCAUUUCAAUAAACACCUCAUACACUAUUCUUAUCAAAUCCCAAUUUCAUUAAAUAUUUUUCAAACUUCAUAGAGAAUUAAUCCUAAUGCCCAUCUAUCAUGAAAUAUACACCCAAUUACAUUCUUAUAAGUUCAAUCUUAAGAAAAAAAUUGCUUCGAUGUCAAAAUCGUUGAGAAAAACUAUUGUACAAUUGCUAAAAAUGGAGCCCCAUCCUAUCGGAGUUGAUGUUACCCUCAAACUUCCAAGCCGUUGUUAAUUAUUGCCCCAAAAAAAACUGACUCUGUUGGGACCAAACACCAAUUUUGGGAGAGAAGAGAAUCUAAGUUUGAAAUGGAUCUAAAUAGCAAGGGUUGUUUGGUUAAAAAAAGGAUUAAUUGGCUAAGUGAUAAUUUUAUGAAAUGAGAGUUAUCAUGACGCUUUUAUACUUAAAUCAAGAUUACUUAAAGAGUAAAAUAUAUGUUUUUAUUGCAUUUUAACUAUAUUUUGCAUGAACAUUCAUUUUAGUUUAUUUUUAAUAAAUUGAGUUGUUUUAAAAUAAUUUGUGCUUAGAUUAUAUGCAUAAUUGUAGGUGAUUGAAAAGCUCAAGUUUUAAGGAAGGAAAAUUGCUGCAACAGACUCGUAGAGACAAUGAAAGAACUUGGCUAUAGAAGAAUUGAAAUAAAUCUAGAACAGUGCAGUUGCUGUAGCCGUUGUUGUAGCAAUCCUGGAGCAAUAAAAGAUUGGAUUUCGCACGCCACAACUAAAAGAUGGCGAUCUAAAAUUUCCAAAAAUGGAGGAUACGCGCCACAUACUUUUGGUUGUUCUAAUUUUGAGUUAUAAAAGGAGCACACUUGCAAAGGAAAAAAAAGGAAGAACCGUCACUCAAGGAAAAAAACACAAUUUUAUUUGUGUUUUUUAUUUAUUUAUGGGAAUGUAUUUGAUAGCUGAAACAAUUUUAUUUGCUCUUCUAUCGCAAAUCAUGAACUAAAUUUUAUUGUGGUUGAGUGAUAAAUGAUCUUAAUAGAUGUUUGACUGACAUAUGCGUGUUGUUUUGUGUUUGCUAUAUCAUUUUGUCUUAUUUCAAUUCUUUAUUUCGGUUGACCGCCCAUUUAGUGGAUACUAGCUAAGAAAAAACUAAAAAAAGUCUGACUUAGUGGAUCAAAUUAAGACAAUACUUGAUUUUAGAUUGGAUUUUCCCAAGUUGAGCAAAUCUCAAUUUGAAUACAGCUAUGUUUUAUUUAAAAUUAAUGAUGAACUAGACUACUUGAUUUUAGAUUGGGUUUUCCCAAGUUGAGCGAAUCUCAAUUUGAAUACAGCUAUGCUUUAUUUAAAAUUAAUGAUGAACUAGACAUAAGGAUUCACUUUGUAGGGUAAAUGGAACCUAGAACGUUUAAUGUCAUAUUUAAUGUAGGCAUAACAAUUGGUCAUUGUUAAGUUGCAUUAUAUAUAAGAUAUCCAAUAAACGACAACUAAUGAUGCAUGAGGGAUUCUGUCCAGUACUAUAGUAGAUACUGUAACAACGGUAUUGUAAUCGAAAAAAUAGUCAGAGUCAUUAAAUGAGUUUAUUCACUCAACUACUCUAUUUCCAUUGGUUACAUCCUUAUAUUUGACGUGAGAAUUUUUUUUAUUGCAUUUAUUUUAUUUCAUUUUUAUUUUAAUUAGUUUAUUAGUUUCAUAAAUUGUCUUAUUUUAAUUUAGAACAAAAUUGCAGUGUUAAGGUUGCUGUAACCAAUAUGAUAAUAUCAAUAUCUGUGAAGACGAUUUAAAUACUCAUCAGUAUAUUACUUAUUGUGUACACUUACACAUUGACACUCAUAGCAUUAGAAAUUGCACACCACUAAGUAAUGAGAGAAAAGCUUAAGGUGGGUAACUUUGAAUACUACAAAAUCUUUUAGGUCAUUUUUGUAAUUUUCCUUCUUUAUUCAAAUGAUUCAGCAAAAAGUUUUUUUAAAUGAGUUUAUCAUAAUCUCAUCAGUUAUUAUAUAACCAUAUUAAACAAUAAUAUGCAUAAAUAAGCUUUAAAUAUAUUAUCCAUAUACGAAAACUGAUAUGUUUAUUAAACAAGACUUGUUGAAAUAUUUUUUUAGGUAUUUAGAUCUAUUUAUUUAUUUAAAUUUUAACAGUAUGCUGCUCCGUAUCAUGUUCUUUACACAUCUAAAUCAAGCAGGAAAGCAUAAAUUCAUUCUAGAUUUUAUGCAUUUGUUAUUCGAUCUAGUUUUCUCCCAAAUCAUCAAACAUAAAGUUUCAUAUUUAAAAACAAUCACUUUGAUAAAAAGUUGUAAUAUAAGCAUAUGAGAAUGCAAAAUCACUCGAAAGUGUAAAGUCAUUUAAUAAAUAUUUCAGAAAAAGGAAAAAAAAGAAAAAAGAAAGUACUGCAAGAAGAGACUAAAGAAUUAGUGUUUGCACUGACAUGCAUUCUUCCAUUACAAACACAGCUAAUUAACUCUUCCGACUUUGUAAUGCGGAAAAGGAACAUAAACUACUUGAAUUACAUUAACCACUUGGGUCUUUUAUAUGAAAAUAUAGAAACUAGUUGAGACUAACUUCAUUCUUCACAAGUCUACAGCGACUCAAACAUAGAUGCAUUUUUCUCCACCAUUUUUGUAAGAAAGUUCAAUGACCUUUGAUGCCUCGUUAUCUUGAAUGCAACCAAUCCAUAAGCUUAUAAAAUAUGACCAUAUUUGGCUCCACACCAUUUGCUUUCGCGUUGUUGUAUGUCACGACAUCUAGUAUUAAGCCUUCAUUAGGCAAUCUAUGGUAUAGUUCAUAAACAAACUUCUAGUCUAUCUAUAAGGGAACUGCAAGUUUCAAUACUAAGUUCACACUUGCAGUUUCUUAUGUCAAUAUAAUUCUACCGCCUCAAGAAUGUAAUCAUUCUACUCUGACUGAGAAUGUAGCCAUUCUACUUGCACUUAAAAUUUUCCUGUAAAGACUUAUAUCUUCCUCUAGAAUUUGAUUCGUGUAGUACCCAUUUAUCAAAAUAACAGUACUUGUCCACUUUUCCAAAGCUAAACAUUUUCUUGAUCUGAUUAUACGUAGUCGAAAAGUACAAGAACAGUCUGAAAAACUUAAUUAAGUGGCGGUAAGAGAUACUUAACACUAAAUUAAUUAUGUGGCGGUGAGAGAUAAUUAACACUAAAAUCGAUUAUUUGACAGCAGCCAAAAGAUCCGAAAGCAGUCCUAAAAGAUAAGAGUUGCUUAAAUUCCACCAAUCGAUCAUGAUAAGCAUACCACAAUUGAAUUUUAAGAAUUUUAACACCACCAUUUGUGAUGAAAAUAGACGUCCGUCAAGCAAAACCCAUCCAUUAUCAACAUGUAAUAAGCUCUUACUUGCUUUGUCUAUCUUUCCAUUCACUUUAAAAUCUGUAAUAACAGACCGCACACCUUUUCUUUUGUCCUAUGUAAACACCCAGCCUGAGAAAAAUGCAGCCAUAAGUAAAGAUAUUAGGUUCACAGAGCCAUUUAUUCAAUCGCUCAAUAGCAACAAGUGCAUGGCUUGUCCACCAUAAUCCAUAGAUCAACGUAGUAUGUGUAAUCACAUUAGGCUUACAACAAAGCAUAGUCAUAAUUUAAUUUCUAAAACAACCUGGUGGCCUCCACAAUUCUACGUUACACACUCAAUCUUUUAAUCAAAGUAUUCAAAACAAACAGCCAUAAUUAACCAUAAUGCAGCAACUAAUCAAAAUAUUUAACCCAAUAAAAUCUGCCAACAACGCAAUUGAAUUUAUUUUAUUUUAUUUUUCAAAAAAGAGACACAAAGGAUAUUGCUUAGAAUACAGCUGCUGGCCGUGAGUAAAAUAAUUACCUGAAUCACAAGCGUCACUGGGGAAUUUUUCAAGUGAGGUUCAGUCUUUGACUGCGAGUAGGGAAUUAUUUCGAUUUUUUUUUUGAAAUUUGAAGUUGUGGGUUUCCGAGAGUGAGUGAAUCUUAAAGCAAUUUUUGAAGCAGAAGAAAAUAAACAAUUUGAGAAUUUGGAAUCCAUGGGAGAAUUUCUUUUUUGAGGAUUUCGGCGUAGUACUUAGGUUUCUCAGUUUUUGAUAUACAUGUGUGUAACUUUUGAAUUUAUACUGAAGUCCUUGUUUGGAGAAAUAUCAACGAAGUCCUGUGAUUUUAACAUUUGCAGUUAUCAAUAAGUCCCAUAUGAAUAGUGAUUUCAUAUAUUUGUAGUUAUUUAUAAUUGAAAUAACUUUCAUAUCAACAUAUCUUCUGCCCCUAUUAAAAGAAAAGAAAAGAAAAGAAAACAUAUCUUGUGCCCUUUUUUUUAUUUAUAGUAAUUUAAGAACAUAUACUCCCACCAAUAGCUAUACAGAAGAUACCAAUUUGAGUUUACCUAUCCAAACUGUAUUUUCCUCUUGGAAUUGUAGGAUGGGGAUAAAUAUUAUCUUAUACACACACACACACACACACACACACACACGAGGUAUAUGUCUCCUCAUUACUUUUGGCCGUUUUGAUUUUUAGGGAAUGGUUUUGAUGUAUAUCUAUGGUUCGUGUCCAUCUCUCACUUUAGUAAAUAUCUCUUUCCCAACUUAAUUCUUCCAAUUCAUAAGACUCACUAUUUUCCAUACUAUCGUUACCGGUUAGUUAUUUUCUCCAUUGUUUACAAAAUAAUUAUUAUACACCUACUUUUUUUUUUAGGAGAAUUAUAUACCUACCAUUUUAGAACUAAGGAGAGUUCGUGUCACUGAAUUUAAGGUUUUUAAAAUUUUUUAUGAUUUUGGAGAGAAGUCCAAUAUUUUAUAUAUGUUUUUAUGUGCCUUUGAACUAAUUUAUUGUAUCGUUACGUGAAGAGCUUUCAAAAAUAUUAUUCAGAAUCUUCAUAUUUUUCAAUUGUAGUCUUAUAAUUGUUAAUGUCCAAAAAUAUUCAAAAACUGUUUUGAAAUUUAACAAUUGAUACAAUUAAAUUCGUCGUGGAAAUAAUAUAAAGAAUUAAUUUUAACUCUUUUUUUUUUUUUAAAGUUUAACUCUUAAAAUUUCCAAGUACACUUGUUUUGAUGGGAUUUUCACGUGCCCACGUGUUGCCUCUAAUUGGUUGGGCACGCUCUUUUUGGUCAGUAUUGAAUUUGGGCCGGAUUUUUGUUGACUUGGGCUUGAGGUGGUCUGCUAACUCAUCAUUUCUAUUAGUAGUUCGCAGAGAAAGGUCCACAAUUUAUCUGGGCACUGAUAUCGCCUCAAUAAAGUCGUGUUGAAGCUUUGACAGUUGUUGACUUCCUAGAUAGUCCGAAUAUGAGCUUAAAAAGUAAAGACACCCUCUGUAGAUGGUGGUGUGGGUGCAUGUUAUACCAACGAAUAAUGGAGAACCAAGGGUUUUAUACACUGUCUUGGAAUUUGAUACUUCGAGAAACCUACGGAAAAAUCUUUUAAGUGCGAAAUAGACUUUAUCGAUGGGAUUUUAAGAAGUAGAUACCCUAUAGAUUGUGCAUAUAGGGCAUGUUUGGCAUGCAGCAUUACACUGUAUUAGAACCCAGCAUUGCAUUAAGGCUGUGUUUAUUUGCUGGAGUGGGAGUGAGGAGUGUGGAUUCCUCCCACUCUAGCGUUUACUUACCUUAAAAAAGAAGGUAGUGGGAGUGGGAAUCCGUGAGUCCCACCCAAUUUUAGAGUGGGGAGUGGGAUUCCCACUCCCAUGGGGGGAGGUGGGAGUGAGAAUCCACUCCCCCUCUUCCCAUUUUAUCCUUAUAAAAAUAAAUAAAUAAAUAAUA
RNAcentral lists this long non-coding RNA (5910 nucleotides) under Citrus x clementina. Its description in RNAcentral is "Citrus clementina (C. clementina) long non-coding RNA (CCLE_LNC000342)". Lineage: Eukaryota; Viridiplantae; Streptophyta; Magnoliopsida; Sapindales; Rutaceae. The record is from RNAcentral.